CGUUGAAUACGUUCCCGGGGUUUGUACACACCGCCCGUCAAGUCACCCGAAUCGUCUGCACCGAAGUCCGUGGCCAACCGCAAGGAGGGAGCGGCCGAAGGUGCGGGGGGUAAGGGGGACU
This 121-nucleotide ribosomal RNA is filed under the name uncultured bacterium. Its description in RNAcentral is "partial 16S ribosomal RNA". It matches the Rfam family "Bacterial small subunit ribosomal RNA", at positions 1360 to 1482 of the family's 1533-position model. The record is from RNAcentral.